RNAcentral lists this ribosomal RNA (462 nucleotides) under uncultured bacterium. RNAcentral's name for it is "partial 16S ribosomal RNA". It matches the Rfam family "Bacterial small subunit ribosomal RNA", at positions 29 to 523 of the family's 1533-position model. The record is from RNAcentral.
AACGUACGCUGGCGGCACGCCUAACACAUGCAAGUCGAACGCAGUAGCAAUACUGAGUGGCAGACGGGUGAGUAACAUGUGGGAAUCUGCCUUGUGGUUCAGGACAACAUUGGGAAACCGAUGCUAAUACUGGAUAAGCCCUUACGGGGAAAGUUUUAAUGCCAUAAGAUGAGCCCGCAUUUGAUUAGUUAGUUGGUGAGGUAAUGGCUCACCAAGACAAUGAUCAAUAGCUGAUCUGAGAGGAUGAUCAGCCACACUGGGACUGGGACACGGCCCAGACUCCUACGGGAGGCAGCAGUGGGGAAUCUUGCACAAUGGAGGAAACUCUGAUGCAGCGAUGCCGCGUGCGGGAUGACGGCCUUCGGGUUGUAAACCGCUUUUAGUAAGGAAGAAGGGGAGCUUGCUCCUUGACGGUACUUGCAGAAAAAGGACCGGCUAACUACGUGCCAGCCGCCGCAGUAA